Molecule: transfer RNA, 69 nt
Filed under: Rhinatrema nigrum (black caecilian)
Lineage: Eukaryota; Metazoa; Chordata; Amphibia; Gymnophiona; Rhinatrematidae
Description: tRNA-Val
Rfam family: tRNA
About the family: Transfer RNA (tRNA) molecules are approximately 80 nucleotides in length.
Source: RNAcentral
CAAAGCGUAGUAUAACCAAAACAUUUCGCUUACACCGAAAAAAUGUUUGUGCAAAUCAAACCGCCUUGA